GAAAUUUUUUUCUCAAGAUAGUUGUUAUGGUUCAAUAUUGUCAAAAAAUUAGAGAUUAUACGCGCCGCAAAAGUAUAUGAGCUUGUAACUAAGUAAUCCAUCAUUUUUACGCAAAACUGUACCCGUGGAGACGAAACCCAUACAAUUGUUUC
This is a long non-coding RNA of Cotesia glomerata, 152 nucleotides long. RefSeq lists it as uncharacterized. Lineage: Eukaryota; Metazoa; Arthropoda; Insecta; Hymenoptera; Braconidae. The record is from RefSeq and is a predicted model, not a curated record. The transcript has 3 exons.